CCCUUUCGCGGGCAAGCCUCGCUCCUACAGGUUACUCGAUAGCCUGUAGGAGCGAGGCUUGCCCGCGAACAGC
Molecule: unclassified non-coding RNA, 73 nt
Filed under: Pseudomonas prosekii
Lineage: Bacteria; Pseudomonadati; Pseudomonadota; Gammaproteobacteria; Pseudomonadales; Pseudomonadaceae
Source: RNAcentral